AUACAUAGGUUAACGAGGCGAACCGGGGGAACUGAAACAUCUAAGUACCCCGAGGAAAAGAAAUCAACCGAGAUUCCCCCAGUAGCGGCGAGCGAACGGGGAGCAGCCCGGAGUCUGAAUCAGCUUGUGUGUUAGUGGAACGGUCUGGAAAGUCCGACGGUACAGGGUGAUAGUCCCGUACACGAAAGCACACUUGCUGUGAACUCGAAGAGUAGGGCGGGACACGUGGUAUCCUGUCUGAAUAUGGGGGGACCAUCCUCCAAGGCUAAAUACUCCUGACUGACCGAUAGUGAACCAGUACCGUGAGGGAAAGGCGAAAAGAACCCCGGCGAGGGGAGUGAAAAAGAACCUGAAACCGUGUAC
This 363-nucleotide ribosomal RNA is filed under the name Enterobacter cancerogenus. RNAcentral describes it as "partial 23S ribosomal RNA". It matches the Rfam family "Bacterial large subunit ribosomal RNA", at positions 162 to 563 of the family's 2925-position model. Lineage: Bacteria; Pseudomonadati; Pseudomonadota; Gammaproteobacteria; Enterobacterales; Enterobacteriaceae. The record is from RNAcentral. RNAcentral also lists the same sequence under 1 other name.